GGGCUAUGCUAUCAUCCUGGAGCCCACUCUGCUAACAAUUAGCAGAACGGAAGCCUUAAUUUCCAGAUUCUAGUGAACUUGAUGAGUCAAGACUAUUGCAAUUGGAAAUCUGUUCUCCUCUGCUGCUGCAUUCCCUGCUUAAUACUCAAGCCAGAAACCAGGAAGGCUGUGGCUUGCCUUUUCACUUCUUGUGUCCUGUUUAAGAAAUAUCUGCUAUCCCAAGAUAACACUAACAAAGUUGACCUUAGAAUUGGAGUGCCUGGGUUAGAACCCUGCUGGUACCACCUGCUUACUGCAUGCUUCUGAUGUGAGUUCAGGAGAAGACACUGGCAAGGACAGCAAAGAACAGGAGAACACUCUAGCUUCCCUGAUAGCAUUCAAGGUGCUGUCCAAACUGACUGUGAUGGCACCCUCCAGACAGACAGCGAUGCCACAUGUUCAAGAUGGCAGAAUCACUAUCAGCUUCAAUUCCUGAAUGACUGCAGAGCAAAAUUUCUUACCUGCAACAUACACUCUAUUUUCAGCCUCCCUGGACUGUUACAUAAUGAUACAUAAAAAUAUUUCUUGUGUUGAGGCAUCCCAAAUUUGAUUUAUUUGUCAUCACAGUCUAUCCUAUGAAUAUAUUUCUGAUCCAAAUAAUGCUAGAUUCAUGAGAGUUUAUAGUCCAGAGAUUUUUUUUUUUUUUUUGAGACAGAAUCUGUCUCCCAGGCUGGGGUGCAGUGGCAUAAUCUUAGCUCACUGCAACCUCUGCCUCCCGGGCUCAAGUGAUCCUCCCUCCUUAGCCUCCAUGAGUAGCUGGGACCACAGGUGUGCACCACCACACCCCGCUAAUUAUUUUGUAUUUUUUGCAGAGGGGGGUUUCACCACAUUGCCCAAGCUGGUCUCAAACUCCUAGACUUAAGGGAUCUGCCUGCCUUGGCCUCCCAAAAUGCUGAAAUUACACUUGUUAGCCAUAGUAAUAGUUCCUAGCCAUAGUCCGGAGAUAUUUUAAAAACUUUAGUGUGAGUUAUUUCUCUUUGCUAUAAUUCUCUCAUGCAUUUUGAAAACCUUUUCUGCCAUACAGUGGUUUUUGGGAAGUCCUUUUGGACAGACAUAUCACAGGAUGGAGAAACUAAAAAGAGAGAAUGCAUUAAAGAAAAAAUAGUACUUCGUAUUUCAGAAAUUACAAAAGGGUGUCAUGCCCCACAGCAUGGUGGGCAGUCAUUUGUAACCCACAGAACAUUGAGUUUCUAAAAUUUGAGUGUUUUUAACUUACGAAGGCCAACUUUACUGAUGAAGUGAUUACCCCAAAUAUGUGAAAUCCAUAUUUCAAGUACAAUAGUAGGAAAUUGGAAAUGGGUAGGUAUAUUUCUGACUGUCAAAGAGUACAAAGUAAAGAGGGGCCCCUGAAGAGUGACACUACUGGAAAAACAGAA
Homo sapiens (human) is the source of this 1415-nucleotide long non-coding RNA. Ensembl annotates it as cancer susceptibility 19. Its record names the gene CASC19. NCBI's taxonomy places the organism in Eukaryota, Metazoa, Chordata, Mammalia, Primates, Hominidae. The record is from Ensembl.